Musca domestica (house fly) is the source of this 100-nucleotide non-coding RNA. NCBI's taxonomy places the organism in Eukaryota, Metazoa, Arthropoda, Insecta, Diptera, Muscidae. The record is from Rfam.
UCAACAUGGCUUUUGGUGAUUAUCCCGCUGAAUACAACCCCAAGGUACAUGGUCCUUAUGACCCAGCUCGCUAUUAUGGCAAAGGUAAGAUUAUGAUGGA